GACGAACGCUGGCGGCGUGCUUAACACAUGCAAGUCGAACGGAAAGGCCCUGCUUGCAGGGUACUCGAGUGGCGAACGGGUGAGUAACACGUGGGUGAUCUGCCCUGCACUUCGGGAUAAGCCUGGGAAACUGGGUCUAAUACCGGAUAGGAGCCAUUUUUAGUGUGAUGGUUGGAAAGUUUUUUCGGUGUAGGAUGAGCUCGCGGCCUAUCAGCUUGUUGGUGGGGUAAUGGCCUACCAAGGCGGCGACGGGUAGCCGGCCUGAGAGGGUGGACGGCCACAUUGGGACUGAGAUACGGCCCAGACUCCUACGGGAGGCAGCGGUGGGGAAUAUUGCACAAUGGGCGCAAGCCUGAUGCAGCGACGCCGCGUGGGGGAUGACGGCCUUCGGGUUGUAAACUGCUUUCGCCAGGGACGAAGCUUUUUGUGACGGUACCUAGAUAAGAAGCACCGGCUAACUACGUG
This 465-nucleotide ribosomal RNA is filed under the name uncultured bacterium. RNAcentral's name for it is "partial 16S ribosomal RNA". It matches the Rfam family "Bacterial small subunit ribosomal RNA", at positions 28 to 507 of the family's 1533-position model. The record is from RNAcentral.